Molecule: ribosomal RNA, 467 nt
Filed under: uncultured Oomycota
Lineage: Eukaryota; Oomycota
Description: LSU rRNA
Rfam family: Eukaryotic large subunit ribosomal RNA
Source: RNAcentral
GUGCGAGACCGAUAGCGAACAAGUACCGUGAGGGAAAGAUGAAAAGAACUUUGAAAAGAGAGUUAAAGAGUACCUGAAACUGCUGAAAGGGAAGCGAAUCGUAUCCAGUGUCUAUAAUCUGCGGCAUAUUUCAUUGGCGGCAGUGUGCGUGCUUUUGCGUCGGAAGCGGCUUUUGUUGCUCUGUGCUUUUGCUGUGCGUGCUGUUGCUGGUGCCCUGUGUUGCGGUGGGACGUCAGAGUCAGUUCGUAUGCUGCGGGAAAUGGCCGCCGAGGAGGUAGGUCAGGACUUCGGUCUUGGCUGUUAUAUCUUGGUGGUUUGUUGUCGUGGUUGGGACUGAGGUGCCUACAAUGUGCUUUUGAGUGUGCCGGGUUCUCAUUUGGUGGACUGUUUGGAUAGCUUGCUAUGCUUGUGGUUUUUUCAUCGAGUGAUUGAGUCUGGUGGUAAAUUGUUGCUGUUCGGGACUUUGA